RNAcentral lists this unclassified non-coding RNA (182 nucleotides) under soil metagenome. Its description in RNAcentral is "partial internal transcribed spacer 1". The record is from RNAcentral.
CCGAGUUUACAACUCCCAAACCCAAUGUGAACGUUACCAAACUGUUGCCUCGGCGGGGUCACGCCCCGGGUGCGUAAAAGCCCCGGAACCAGGCGCCCGCCGGAGGAACCAACCAAGCUCUUUCUGUAGUCCCCUCGCGGACGUAUUUCUUACAGCUCUGAGCAAAAAUUCAAAAUGAAUCA